AACGCACAUUGCGCCCCCUGGUAUUCCGGGGGGCAUGCCUGUCCGAGCGUCAUUACAACCCUCAAGCCUAGCUUGGUGUUGGGCUCUGCUGCCUGGCGGGCCCUAAAGUCAGUGGCGGUGCUGUCCGGCUCCGAGCGUAGUAACUCUUCUCGCUCUGGAGGCCUGGGCGUGUGCCUGCCAGUAACCCCCCAAUUUUAUCAGGUUGACCUCGGAUCAGGUAGGGAUACCCGCUGAACUUAA
RNAcentral lists this unclassified non-coding RNA (240 nucleotides) under uncultured Chrysosporium. RNAcentral describes it as "sequence contains ITS2". The stretch from base 1 to 52 matches the Rfam family "5.8S ribosomal RNA", at positions 103 to 154 of the family's 154-position model. Lineage: Eukaryota; Fungi; Ascomycota; Eurotiomycetes; Onygenales. The record is from RNAcentral.